UCCACGCCCUAAACGAUGAGUGCUAGAUGUAAGAGGUAUCGACCCCUCUUGUGUCGUCGCUAACGCAUUAAGCACUCCGCCUGGGGAGUACGGCCGCAAGGUUGAAACUCAAAGGAAUUGACGGGGGCCCGCACAAGCGGUGGAGCAUGUGGAUUAAUUCGUCACUAACCGAAGAACCUUACCCAGGUUUGACAUCCUAGGAACCCUGAUGAAAGUUGGG
Molecule: ribosomal RNA, 220 nt
Filed under: uncultured bacterium
Lineage: Bacteria
Description: partial 16S ribosomal RNA
Rfam family: Bacterial small subunit ribosomal RNA
Source: RNAcentral